This 323-nucleotide long non-coding RNA is filed under the name Lathyrus oleraceus (garden pea). Its description in RNAcentral is "Pisum sativum (pea) long non-coding RNA (PSAT_LNC006234)". Lineage: Eukaryota; Viridiplantae; Streptophyta; Magnoliopsida; Fabales; Fabaceae. The record is from RNAcentral.
GAUCUGAAAAGGUGAGUGAUUUAAGAGAUGCAUGAUGAACUUUCAUGGUGUUAAAUGGAAGAUGGUGUCUCAUAUGAGUGAGGAUAUAUCACUAACAGUAUGUGCAGUGGAAAAUAAGAUUAGAGAUGAAAAGAGUAUGUGUAUUGGAAAAUGAAGAUACCACGACCGAAGCCAACAAUGGCACUUUUUCCUUUCCCCUUUUUGUUUUUUUUUUCAAAAUGAAUGUUUGGAGAGAGACUUGACUGGAGAGGUUCGGUCGUCUCCUUUUUUAUAUUGGCUAACAUGGUCCUUAUAUAGUGCAUACUAGGGUUUUCUACUUUUUU